AGAGUUUGAUCCUGGCUCAGAAUCAACGCUGGCGGCGUGCCUAACACAUGCAAGUCGCACGAGAAAGUGGAGCAAUCCAUGAGUAAAGUGGCGUACGGGUGAGUAACACGUGACUAACCUACCUUCGAGUGGGGAAUAACCUCGGGAAACCGGGGGCUAAUACCGCAUAACAUCUUCUGGCUGAGAUGCCGGUUGAUCAAAGUAGCAAUGCGCUUGAAGAGGGGGUCGCGGCUGAUUAGCUAGUUGGUGAGGUAACGGCUCACCAAGGCGAUGAUCAGUAGCCGGCCUGAGAGGGCGCUCGGUCACACUGGAACUGAAACACGGUCCAGACUCCUACGGGAGGCAGCAGUGGGGAAUUUUGCGCAAUGGGGGAAACCCUGACGCAGCAACGCCGCGUGGAGGAUGAAGUCCCUUGGGACGUAAACUCCUUUCGAUCGGGACGAUUAUGACGGUACCGGAAGAAGAAGCCCCGGCUAACUUCGUGCCAGCAGCCGCGGUAAUACGAGGGGGGCAAGCGUUGUUCGGAAUUAUUGGGCGUAAAGGGCGCGUAGGCGGUGCGGUAAGUCUGUUGUGAAAUCUCCGGGCUCAACUCGGAGCUUGCAUCAGAAACUGCCGUGCUUGAGUGUGGGAGAGGUGAGUGGAAUUCCCGGUGUAGCGGUGAAAUGCGUAGAUAUCGGGAGGAACACCCGUGGCGAAAGCGGCUCACUGGACCACAACUGACGCUGAUGCGCGAAAGCUAGGGGAGCAAACAGGAUUAGAUACCCUAGUAGUCC
This 773-nucleotide ribosomal RNA is filed under the name uncultured bacterium. RNAcentral describes it as "bacterial SSU rRNA". It matches the Rfam family "Bacterial small subunit ribosomal RNA", at positions 8 to 796 of the family's 1533-position model. The record is from RNAcentral.